CCAACUGCCCUGAGCCCUGGGCAGAGAGGUGUGUGUAAAUACACUGCAUUAAGUAUCUUACUCCGUGUGUUGUUAGGGAAAUCAUAGGGUGGCAGACAUGGUUUGGGGUGGUGUGCUGCUCUAGGACUAGUUUUUGAUAAGUGUGGUCUCUGAGGUAGAAGAGAAGGGAGUUUUAAAUAUUGUUCUUCCUGGACUUCUUCUCCCUUAAAUUUGUACCUUGCCACAAAAUACAUGCCCAAGUUACUCAAGGGAUUUCGAUCACCACCUUGUGGGAGGGAAAAGAGAAGGAAAGAAAAGUGGGAGAAUUUACAGCAUUAACAUGUGAAAGACUGACAAAGGACUGCUGUCCAGCAUCAGAAAUACAAGCUGUAGCUGGUUACAGUAUCCAUGGAUGAUCUGGGACCAUUCUUCACUUGGAGUCCUCUCUUCUUUUGUAAUGGAAGUAAAUAAACUUGAGGUUUCACAAACAGCUCAGACCCUGCCAUAACUGUAGUUGUGACGACUGUAUCUGUAGCCUUUCAUUGCCCAGAAAUGGUGACUUUUAGGUGUUGGGUUACGUGUAGGAAUAGUUAAACCAAGUUACAUUUUCGGAAUUUAAUCAUAAAUCAGAUUGCAUCUCCUUGGGUGGCAUUCAGGUGGUGGUAGCACACAGGGAUUUGGGGCCACUUCAGAUCCCCCACCACAGGCUGUGCCAUCUGCAUUGGGCUGGCAGAGUAAUGUUAGAUCCACAGAACUGUAUCCUUCUGGAGCAGCAGCUUGAAGCUGGGAAUGGCAUCCUGGCUGGUUCCCUGUGGAAGAGGGGGUGGUUUGUAUCUGUGGAUUUGGUUUUCUUCUUUUCAUUUGGUCAUUGGUUUGUGGUUUCUAAACAUUGUCUGAGAACAGUUUCUUGAAAUAGUAUUCAUAGAUGAAACCACCUCUUUGGUUACCUUUAUCUCUAAAAGAAGAAGAUAUUUCAGUGCAUGUUAAUUACCUGUGGGCUGCAGUAUUACACUGAUGAUACUUUUGUGACUUUUAGAAAAGUUUAAACAGUGCAGGUAUUGAUUUUUUUUUUCCCAAAGAUUGGCUGUACUUUGUAAGGUUUCCACUUUUCCGCCACAUUUGUCCAAGUUGAUCUUAAGUUUGUGUGUCUUGGAAAUUCAGGGUGUUUUUCCCUCUUGACAAUGCGCUGUUAAUGGUUUUGGUCUUCUAAGGCUUCAAAGUCCUCUGACCUCUCACAGCAUAAUGUGAGAUGUAUAAUACAUUAGUCUCUUUACCUGUGAGCCUCCAAGAACUCAAUUAUUACUGAAUUAAUAUUCUACAUAAUCUGUAUUCAAGGGUAGUUCACUUUGCAGUGGCUUUGCCACUGAUUGAUUGCCGUAAAUGAACUGUGCAAGUCAACUACCAUGCAAACAAACACAAGUUUCUUAAAUACAGAGAUCCCUGAAAUCCAUUGUUUCCUGUUUUGAUGAUAAGAGUGUGGUGAGGCAGUAAUGAACUUUCUUUGGAUUUUGUUAAAAUAUAUUCUUUGGUGAUCUAUAAGGGAGAUUGUAGAUAUCACCAAUUUGAAAUGAACAGAGUAAUAUCUUUGAGUUUCUUAAUAAAAGUACAAAUAAAUUGUAUUCUUUCUUUCUCUCUAGUGGCUUGUGAUUGCUGCCUGCGUAAGAGAUUGUAAGGGCUCAGAAGACAGAGAGGUACUUUGUAGCCAGGUCAUUGUUCUAGAACCCAUGUUGGCAUCAUUAGGGAACUCUAAUUACAGAAGGAUCAUCAGUCUUCUCCUUGAUCUGCACUCUGCAGGUUAUAUAAUGCAGGAGAGAGAAUGCACAGCAGGAAUCUAUCUAUCUGGAAGUAGAGUGACAUAGCUUUACAAUUAUUUACUGACACAACAGAUACGAAAGCAGCAUUCCCCUAAAAGACAAAAUACUGUAUUUAGUGCAGACUUCUGGUAUUCGGGGAAUUUAGGGGUUACUCAAAACAUCCUGCUGUUCUAGGCUUUUUCAUGCCUUAGUGCGUGUGUUUAAUUUGCUAUCUCAGUCUUAUUUGAAAUUUCUGUCUGUACAUAGAUGUUUAAGGUUGAUAUGAUUGUAUUAAUGAGUGCUUCUCCAGAAAGAAUUUAUGCAUAUACGGAGUGUAAUAUUUUAGUGGUCUGAUUGACGAGAUUUUCUGACUCUUCACUAGGACUCAUUUGUGUAUUUUCUGUAACUGAUUUUAGGAAAAAAAUAGUGAAGGUCUCAAAAUAUUUUAUUAGCAUGUUAUAUUAUUAAGUGAUUCAAUAUGUAGGGAUGACUCUAUUCUUGAGUUCAUCAGCUGAAUUUGAGUGUCAUUGCAUCGUAGCACAACUUGAUGCAGAUCAGCUGCUUUGAGGCGUGAUUGUUAUGUUGUUUCAACUCUGUUUCACUGAGUGUUGUUCCUUGCAGUGGCUUCUGUGAUCAGCUCUUACGAGAUGUGCUUAACAGCAUUCAGCUCAAGUUGCCUAUUUCCAUGCUUGCACAUUUAUUUGGCUUUCUGGAGGCUCAUUAUCCCAAUGCUAUGUCACAUCCAUCUUUUCUGCAUCUUCCAUGUCGAGGAAGAUUGCUGAUACACAGCCUCAGACAAUGUUUGGUACGUCACUGAGUUAUAUGUCAGAGAUGAGAUAUAAGGUAUUUGCACUGAAAAUAUCUGGUGCUUUCUGUUUUCUAAAUUGUCAUGUCUCUGUGGUGAAAGUAUCUUCAAUAUAAAAAUGAAAAUUGGAAUAAUGGGAUUGAACAAAUGCAACCUUGGUGUUCCCUUUUCCCCCUCUUUUUAAGGAGACUAUGAAAGGCAUGCAGUGUUUCUCCCUAAGAUUGCUACAUAAUCAAAAACAUUUGAAAACUGAAAUCUUUUGUUUUACAGAAGAUGCCUUAUAGAUUAUUUUUGGUCUUAUUUAGAGUUUCAUGGCAUGGCAAUGUUACACAGGGGUUAUCAGAAGCAGGUUAUGAGAAGACCUGUUAGGAGCUAGAUGCCAAAGAGGUGUCACUGUAAUUGCUAAUCCCAGUCUAACAUGACCCAAAUUUUGCAGAGCAGCCACCAAGAACCUUCAGUGAAUACUGGGAGAAAAACUGCAUUAAUCAGGACUGUACUUGCUUCAUAUGCAAUACUCUGAGACUUUUUUUUCAUUCCUUUGUUUUCAUAAAAGAGUGACAAACCAUUUUAAACGUACCAUUUCAAUAUUUAUAGGCUAUGUAUUCAUUCUUUUUUGAGUUGUUUUUUUUGUUUGUUUGUUUGGGUUUUUUUGUGUGGGGGUGUUGUUUGUUUGUUUUUAAUUGUGGUAACUUUUCCUGUAUUGAAGAGUAUUAAAGGGAGAUACUACAAGUUGAGAUCAACAAGUGUGUUCCAUAUAUAUAUAUCACAACACCAAUUAGCCUCUUUUUUCCCAUAUUUUGCAUGUAGAAUUAUUCAUAAUUCACCAAAGGAGAAAAGAGACAAAAAUUACUAUAGUUCCUAAGUUGUCUUCUGUUUUUAUUCACUAUUGGAUUGUGUGCAACGGAAUGUAUAUUUGUGGGGGUAAAAAAAAAUUGAAAAAUAACUUGGCCAUUUAAAAAAAAAGUACAAUGCCUGAUAAUUUUGUGUUUCGGUGAGUAAAGAAUUUUUUUGAAAAAUAUGAAGCAGUGAAAUGCUGCUUUUGGACAGAUUUGGUUAAUUUAACAAUAAUAGCAUAUCAAAAGCUUGUUAGUAAGGGUUAUAGUGAGAUGAAAAAAGCCCCAGAGCCUUGAAAUCUCUAAAAACAGUGACAGGCUGGCAGGUUGGGCAGUCUGUAUUACAGCAGUUUUUUGCCUGCACUGUGAGUCUGUGUGUCCAAAAACUGGCAUCUCCUGGUGUUUUUGCUGUACGUCAGGUACAUCUGCACACGUCAGGAGACUCAGCUGUGUGUUCAACUGGAAACUUCCAUAAGGAACACAGCUGGGAUAACAGUGACAGCACAGCAGUAUUUGUCUCUAAGCGCACAAAUGCCAGCUUACAUUCUGGAAGCUGAGAAGGAGGAACGUCAGAAGGCAGCUGCCAAGUGUUCCCCCUCACAAAAAGAUAAAUCUCCGAUUUAUAUGGGGAUGCUGAGUCCUGAGUAAUCCGGUCCCACUUCAGUGUUUUCCAUCAAGAAAAUGUUCUUCAAACAGCUGCCACACAUCUCAGGAGGUCUGGUCUGCCUGGAAUUUGUCCUUCUGUGUUCUAGUUUUGCAGCCACCUAUGUGAAGUGCAAUGAAAAUUCCAUCUUAAAAAACACUCCUUGCAAAAUUAGUGCUAAGCCUGGGUAGAAAGGUGCCUAAACGGGUUGCCUGCUCUUCCUCUUGUGUGCAACAGGCAUAGCAGCUUCAAGGGCUUAGCAUAUGCUCAGGGGUUUUCAUAGUUGAGACAUCUUGUUCUAACUUGCUCAGUUUGGUGGUUUUAACUGAGGGCAUUUUAGCAUCUGCUGGUGGCAAUUACCUCAUUGAACCAUGAUCUGACUCCAAUUUCCAUUCCUGGCUGGGCAUGCAUAGAAAACAUUUCCUGAUGUUCUGUGCCUGUUUAUUAUCUAAGUACAAAGAGCAGAACUGUGUUUUUUUGUUUGGUUCCCUCAAGGUUUGGGUAAGAUUGUAGGGGUCAACAUGCAGGAAGGUUACAAAAACCCAGUUGAUCAUUAAAUUUAAUAGGAGUUAUGUAUUUUAAAUAUUUUUGUUGAUGAGGAAAACAGAUAAUGUAAAAUAAAUGCAUGAUUCAUGUGGAAGCAAGGAGUGAUGAAAGUUUGUGGCCUUGAAUAUCUGAGAGAGCAAACCUUUCAAGUGCUCCCUAAGAAUAUAUGGACCCUCAUAAGCAACACUUCUCUGAGCAUUAUCUGAUAUGCUGCUUCUGGGCACAUCUUACUUUUUCUGGUGAAAUGAAAAUCAAUGAAGUAUUUUUCCUAUUCUGCAGGCAAGGUCUAAAAACCUCAAAGUCAUUUUGGAGGUUUGAGGUGUUUUUCAUUAAAAAUAAUGUUGAUGUUUUGUGAUUAAUGAUUUACUGGAAUCCUUACAGAUUAUUAAAUUCGGUGAAUUAAGGUUUUAAGUCGCCUUGUUGUUCCCAUUGUUGCUGUUAUUUUUUUAAAUUCUAUUAAGGAAGAUGUGGAGAUCAGAAUUCAGCUGUCACAUUAGCGUUCCAUUUAUUUGGCUGAUUGCUGUUGUGGAUGUCUAGAUAAUUAUAUGUAAAUCAUUGACUUCUUGCUAAUGGCCAACUUGAGGGGAUUUUUCCACAAAUCUGUCGGUUCUUGAAUGUUUCUCCUAAAGUGUGAGGAGGAAUUAAAAAAAAACAUUUUGACAUUCAUGCAAAUGUAGGCUGAAUGUAGACAUGCAAAUGCUUAAAGUCUGGUAUCUAAACGUGGAUGUUUUCAGACUGUUACUUUUUUAUGGGAAAUCAGGUUAUGUAUUUAAAAACUGCUGAAUUGUAAGUGCCUGAAACUAAUAGUUUCAAUGUGAUUUAAAAUCCUGCUUGUCUUCUGAACAUUUUUUCAGUGUCAACAGUAAAAGUCCCCUGAAAUGAAAAGGAGCUACAUAAAUCCAGUGUCUUUGGAAAGGUCAUUACAAUGUGGAUGCCUAAUACAGAGUUGGAAGCUUUAAUUUUUUAUAUGGAGUUGGCAAUUUUGGCCUGAUUUAAUAAUAGAAAUUUUCCAUAGUUUUACAUAAGGUAAAUAAUCUAUUUUGUGCCUGGUGAUGAAAAACAAUUUUUGCAUUAAAAAAUCCUUGUUUUCUUAAAAUUACUGGAGGUAGAAAUAGCAAUGGUCAAAGCAUUAGGGGUGUCCUAAGUGUGGCACAUUUAAACCUGUGUGAGGAAACCUGUGUGAGGUGGCUUGUGUUUAUGGAUGAUUAAUAGUAUUCAUACAAAAACACUAACAUCAGCAGUGAAGCUUUCACAUGUUAUGUGUGAAAAAGCAGUUCCAUUUUAAAGAGGCUUUUGAAAGCAGUCUUUGUUCAUAAUUUUACUCUGCUCAGUUAAUUGAACUAUUCUUUCUCGUUCAGAUACCAUUUGGGGCUUGGAGAAAACAUUUGCUGUAAAUUUGGAUGCUUUUAUAAAUUCAAGUAAGUUUGAGCCUAAAACUGAGUGAAGUAUGCAGGCAAACAUAGUUAUAAUUAUUUCAUUCACAUGUCAGUAGUAGCUGACUUAUCCCAUAUAGAAUUUUAAAUCUUCAGUACUCAAUAAGCCUUGGAAAUUUGUGCUUAGUCUGUUUUCUUAUACUGUUGACCUGAAAUUUUUUUGUUUCAGUCAUACGGCUAUUUGAGAAGAACCGCCCCCUCCUAGAAUAUGUUAUAAACUAAAUGACAAAGUUAUUUAAUAUAUACAUGGCAUUCUGUGAAACUGUAUAGCUUUCAUAAAAUACUGGAAUAA
RNAcentral lists this long non-coding RNA (6324 nucleotides) under Taeniopygia guttata (zebra finch). RNAcentral's name for it is "lncRNA (ENSTGUG00000020539.1)". The record is from RNAcentral. Lineage: Eukaryota; Metazoa; Chordata; Aves; Passeriformes; Estrildidae.